CAGGCUUAACACAUGCAAGUCGAGGGGCAGCAUGGUCUUAGCUUGCUAAGGCCGAUGGCGACCGGCGCACGGGUGAGUAACACGUAUCCAACCUGCCGUCUACUCUUGGACAGCCUUCUGAAAGGAAGAUUAAUACAAGAUGGCAUCAUGAGUCCACAUGUUCACAUGAUUAAAGGUAUUCCGGUAGACGAUGGGGAUGCGUUCCAUUAGAUAGUAGGCGGGGUAACGGCCCACCUAGUCUUCGAUGGAUAGGGGUUCUGAGAGGAAGGUCCCCCACAUUGGAACUGAGACACGGUCCAAACUCCUACGGGAGGCAGCAGUGAGGAAUAUUGGUCAAUGGGCGAGAGCCUGAACCAGCCAAGUAGCGUGAAGGAUGACUGCCCUAUGGGUUGUAAACUUCUUUUAUAAAGGAAUAAAGUCGGGUAUGCAUACCCGUUUGCAUGUACUUUAUGAAUAAGGAUCGGCUAACUCCGUGCCAGCAGUCGCGGUAAUACGGAGGAUCCGAGCGUUAUCCGGAUUUAUUGGGUUUAAAGGGAGCGUAGAUGGAUGUUUAAGUCAGUUGUGAAAGUUUGCGGCUCAACCGUAAAAUUGCAGUUGAUACUGGAUAUCUUGAGUGCAGUUGAGGCAGGCGGAAUUCGUGGUGUAGCGGUGAAAUGCUUAGAUAUCACGAAGAACUCCGAUUGCGAAGGCAGCCUGCUAAGCUGCAACUGACAUUGAGGCUCGAAAGUGUGGGUAUCAAACAGGAUUAGAUACCCUGGUAGUCCACACGGUAAACGAUGAAUACUCGCUGUUUGCGAUAUACGGCAAGCGGCCAAGCGAAAGCGUUAAGUAUUCCACCUGGGGAGUACGCCGGCAACGGUGAAACUCAAAGGAAUUGACGGGGGCCCGCACAAGCGGAGGAACAUGUGGUUUAAUUCGAUGAUACGCGAGGAACCUUACCCGGGCUUAAAUUGCAGAUGAAUUACGGUGAAAGCCGUAAGCCGCAAGGCAUCUGUGAAGGUGCUGCAUGGUUGUCGUCAGCUCGUGCCGUGAGGUGUCGGCUUAAGUGCCAUAACGAGCGCAACCCUUGUUGUCAGUUACUAACAGGUUCCGCUGAGGACUCUGACAAGACUGCCAUCGUAAGAUGUGAGGAAGGUGGGGAUGACGUCAAAUCAGCACGGCCCUUACGUCCGGGGCUACACACGUGUUACAAUGGGGGGUACAGAGGGCCGCUACCACGCGAGUGGAUGCCAAUCCCCAAAACCUCUCUCAGUUCGGACUGGAGUCUGCAACCCGACUCCACGAAGCUGGAUUCGCUAGUAAUCGCGCAUCAGCCACGGCGCGGUGAAUACGUUCCCGGGCCUUGUACACACCGCCCGUCAAGCCAUGGGAGCCGGGGGUACCUGAAGUGCGUAACCGCGAGGAGCGCCCUAGGGUAAAACUGGUGACUGGGGC
Molecule: ribosomal RNA, 1434 nt
Filed under: uncultured organism
Description: 16S ribosomal RNA
Rfam family: Bacterial small subunit ribosomal RNA
Source: RNAcentral